GUCUGGAUAGUUGCAUAGGGCUGGAUAGUUGGAUAGGUCUGGAUAGUUGGAUAGGUCUGGAAAGGUCUGGAUAGUUGGAUAGGUCUGGAUAGUUGGAUAGGUCUGAAUAGUUGGAUAGGUCUGAAUAGUUGGAUAGGUCUCGAUAGUUGGAUAGGUCUGGAUAGUUGGAUAGGUCUGGAUAGAUAGAUAGGUCUGGAUAUGUCUGGAUAGUUGGAUAGGUCUGGAAAGGUCUGGAUAGUUGGAUAGGUCUGGAUAGUUGGAUAGGUCUGAAUAGUUGGAUAGGUCUGGAUAGUUGGAUAGGUCUGGAUAGUUGGAUAGGUCUGGAUAGUUGGAUAGGUCUGGAUAGUUGGAUAGGUCUGGAUAGUUGGAUAGGGCUGGAUAGUUGGAUAGGUCUGAAUAGUUGGAUAGGUCUGGAUAGUUGGAUAGGUCUCGAUAGUUGGAUAGGUCUGGAUAGUUGGAUAGGUCUGGAUAGAUAGGUCUGGAUAUGUCUGGAUAGUUGGAUAGGUCUGGAUAGUUGGAUAGGUCUGGAUAGUUGGAUAGGGCUGGAUAGUUGG
Molecule: long non-coding RNA, 554 nt
Organism: Oncorhynchus tshawytscha (Chinook salmon)
Lineage: Eukaryota; Metazoa; Chordata; Actinopteri; Salmoniformes; Salmonidae
Source: Ensembl